GUGACCUGCGGAGGGAUCAUUACACAAAGAUAUGAAGGUAGGGUACUGGCAACAGUGCUCUGCUGAAAUAUUUUCACCCAUGUCUUUUGCGCACUUUUUGUUUCCUGGGCGAGUUUGCUCGCCACCAGGACCCCCAUAUGAACCUUUUUUGUUUUUGCACUCAGCGUCAGUACAAUAAUUUAAUCUAUUAAAACUUUCAACAACGGAUCUCUUGGUUCUGGCAUCGAUGAAGAACGCAGCGAAAUGCGAUACGUAGUGUGAAUUGCAGAAUUCAGUGAAUCAUCGAAUCUUUGAACGCACAUUGCGCCCUUUGGUAUUCCAAAGGGCAUGCCUGUUCGAGCGUCAUUUGUACCCUCAAGCUUUGCUUGGUGUUGGGCGUCUUAUUGUCUCUCCGUCUCGGGGAGACUCGCCUUAAAACAAUUGGCAGCCGGCCUACUGGUUUCGGAGCGCAGCACAAAUUUGCGCUUGCAAUCAGCCAAGGGCGGCAUCCAUGAAGCCUUUUUUCUCUCACAUUUUGACCUCGGAUCAGGUAGGGAUACCCGCUGAACUUAA
This 552-nucleotide ribosomal RNA is filed under the name uncultured Setosphaeria. RNAcentral describes it as "eukaryotic LSU rRNA". The stretch from base 192 to 345 matches the Rfam family "5.8S ribosomal RNA". Lineage: Eukaryota; Fungi; Ascomycota; Dothideomycetes; Pleosporales; Pleosporaceae. The record is from RNAcentral.